GGGGAUGAUCGGCCUAGACAAGUGAUUUCUACUUUUUAGUGCAUGCCGAGCUUUGAGUAACUCGCAAAACUGCUCUGAAUGGUAAAUGCAAACUUUACCGCAAAGCUUAAAGGUAUGGUUAGUCCAUACGUCUUUAAAGCUCCAGCUUUCGCUUUAGCCUAAGCUGGCGUCUCAACUGCCUACUCCGAUACGCAGCUUGAGGUGUUAUAUCUUCGGAUAAGCUAUUGGGCCCGCCGAGCUCAUUAGACGAAAAUUCAGGAUCGGCGCUUAAAGGUUUCGUCCGACUUUCAACUUUAGGCGCUUAAACCUCCAAGACGGAACAAGCAUGUAGAUUCUCUAAAGUAAAUCAUUUGCACGCGAGUUCGAUUCUCGCCAUCUCCACAU
RNAcentral lists this transfer-messenger RNA (384 nucleotides) under Minisyncoccia. RNAcentral describes it as "2-01-FULL-42-20 sp001785965 X1 Standard tmRNA". It matches the Rfam family "transfer-messenger RNA". Rfam says of the family: Bacterial tmRNA, also known as 10Sa RNA or SsrA, is named for its dual tRNA and mRNA-like properties. Its role is to liberate the mRNA from a stalled ribosome. To accomplish this part of the tmRNA is used as a reading frame that ends in a translation stop signal. The record is from RNAcentral. Lineage: Bacteria; Bacillati; Minisyncoccota.